Molecule: ribosomal RNA, 446 nt
Filed under: uncultured bacterium
Lineage: Bacteria
Description: bacterial SSU rRNA
Rfam family: Bacterial small subunit ribosomal RNA
Source: RNAcentral
UUCCAGACUCCUACGGGAGGCAGCAGUGGGGAAUAUUGCACAAUGGGGGAAACCCUGAUGCAGCGACGCCGCGUGAGUGAAGAAGUAUUUCGGUAUGUAAAGCUCUAUCAGCAGGGAAGAGAAUGACGGUACCUGAGUAAGAAGCCCCGGCUAACUACGUGCCAGCAGCCGCGGUAAUACGUAGGGGGCAAGCGUUAUCCGGAUUUACUGGGUGUAAAGGGAGCGUAGACGGCGAAGAAAGUCUGAAGUGAAAGCCCGCGGCUCAACCGCGGAACUGCUUUGGAAACUGUGCAGCUAGAGUGCAGGAGAGGUAAGUGGAAUUCCUAGUGUAGCGGUGAAAUGCGUAGAUAUUAGGAGGAACACCAGUGGCGAAGGCGGCUUACUGGACUGUAACUGACGUUGAGGCUCGAAAGCGUGGGGAGCAAACAGGAUUAGAUACCCGAGUA